Molecule: ribosomal RNA, 567 nt
Filed under: Triticum aestivum (bread wheat)
Lineage: Eukaryota; Viridiplantae; Streptophyta; Magnoliopsida; Poales; Poaceae
Description: partial small subunit ribosomal RNA
Source: RNAcentral
AUGGAAGGUAUUGCCCGCAGGAGGAACGAUUUGGAGAGUUAUCUGGGAAGCCUUGCUAAGAAGUUGUUCGUCAUACUUGAAGAGUUUUGUCGGGACUUCGAGGAAGAGACCGGGCGAAUUAAACCAAGCUUGGACCUAAUCAACUCUCCAGUGAAGGAUGAAGCUGCCAUGAAUGUGCUCCGACUGGAAUCCCGCAUCACUGGUGUUGUUGAUUAUCUCGCCCGACUGAAAGUCACGAUGUCGCGGAUUGACACAGCUCUCUCGCCCAUGGCAACACUUCAUAAUGACCUUGAGUCUAUGAUGGCUCGGCUCAAUGAAGUUCCCAGUCGAAUUCAAGAAUGGAAGAAGUCUUCUGCCCGGUGCGGCGCUGAUGUGGCUCUAUCUCUGGUUCGCGUCCACUGUCGAGAAGCUCGGGAAGAGAAGCUGGCAGCGAUUAAAGUUGCUAACACCAAGAGGCACGACUUCCAGUCCUUCAUGGAGACUUUCAUUGCUGCCGCCACUCGGAUUGCUGACGGGAUCGACCUGGACGAAUUCGUCGAGCCUGCCAGUCCCCCUCCUGCGGAGUGA